AAAUUUGACAGUUCUGUUUUCUCAAGUCAAAAAUCUUAAUCUUACUUUUACAAGUGAUUAGGAUUAUUAUUAUUAUUUUAUUUACAUGUAAAUUGAAACAAUAAAUAUUGUGCUGUGUCAUAAUUUCAAACUCAUUAUGUUGCAGUCUUUUCCAGUUGAUAAAAUUGCAAUUCAAAAACUUUUAGAUUUGCACUGUAUGGAUGGCACAGGAAGAGAACAAAGAGUACAAGAACAUGAAACAUCUUAUUAUAGAAUGUAUAUGUAUGUGAUCCUCAAAAAAUUAUUUUACAAAACAAGAUAGAGAAAGAGCUUUAAAAUCCCAAGGAUCCUGCAAAAUGUUUAUUUGGUGUACUAGUCGAAUAAUAGUAUCUAAAAAUAUUGAAACUAUUUUAAAAUACAUUACGGGCAUGAGGAUGAUAUAGAGCACUUACAUAAAUACCAAAAUCAGAUAAAUAUCUCUUCAAAGUUUAUGUUGAGACUUUCUUCAAAAAUUAAACUUCAGACUGUUCAGGAUAGCAUAAUAGCAUAGGAGGCGAAUUAAAAAGAAUUGAUUUACUUACAAAGAAAAGAUAUCACAAACAUUAAACUCUCUUAUGGCAUUGAUUUGAAAGAUGGGUAUAUGUACAAUGAUGAUGCAACCAGUGUUUAUUUUUGGGUUGAAUGCUUACAGACUUAUGUCCAAUAUUAUUUUACAAACAACAGGGCAUACUAAUGGAUAUUCAUUCUGAAUUUAACAUUUAUGAUUUUUGUCUUAUUUUCCUUAAUACUGUGCCAAAAGGAAAUGUUAAUUAAGUUUGGUAAAUCCUGUAUCGCAAUCGAUGGAACUCAUGGGCUCAAUUCCUAUGACUUUGAACUUAUGACAGUAUUAGUAAAAGAUGAAUUUGGGAAUGGAUUUUGUACUGCUUUCUUAUUUUCAAAUAGAAAAGAUACCUACUUUAAUUUACCAAUUUUUUUAAAUACAUGUCUGUGUUAGUAUUAUAGUCAAAUGUUUUCAUAUCAGGCAUAAGCGACACCUUUUACAAUGCCUCGUCAAAUGUAAUGGGUAUUGCUCCUAAUAGACUGUUAAGUGCCUGGCACAUAGAUAGGGCAGUAAAACACUUAUGGUAAGUAAAUCUUAAUAAAAUAUCUGAUUCUGAAAAAAAUCCUAUUAUGUAUACAAGAUGUAUUAAUGAUGGUUUAGAGAGUAUUAAUAGCUUUUUGGGUAGACUUCUAAGUGAUGCAGAUACAUACAAUUUUAGUAAGUAUUUCCAGUAGAACUACUGCAAUAACAUCCAACAAUGGGCCUAUUGUUAUAGGAAGGGGUUGUGGAAUUAAUACCAAUAUGACCAUUCAAAAUUUUCAUAAAAUUUUGGAUAAAAGGGUAUCCAUUAGUUGUUAUCAGUUAAGUUUAAAACUUGGCACUCAUGGAGAGCUAAACCAUAAUAUAUAAUAGGUAUAUCUCAUAAUAUUACAUCUCAUAUUGCUCACUCAUUACAAUAGUGAGCAAUAUGAGAUAUAACAUAUUAUAGUAUAAGUCUCUGUGCAUGACCAGAUUAACACGUUUGGUACCCAUCUCGAACAAGCUCCACUUGGCUGGUACCACAUAGUUAAAUCAUUUAUUUAGUUACACAGUACUACUCACAUAACUUAUGUGUCGUCAGUACCUUCCGUAAAACCUUCGUGAUGCUACCCAUACGUCAUGGCCACUGAAUGUGUUAAAGCUUGUUAAUGUAGGAGAGUUAUACUAAAAUAUAUAUCGCCUAUUAUAUUGCCUUAAAUAGAAAAAUACCUUAUUUAAAUUGUAUCCAUGUAAGU
RNAcentral lists this long non-coding RNA (1794 nucleotides) under Diabrotica virgifera virgifera (western corn rootworm). Its description in RNAcentral is "uncharacterized LOC114327516". The record is from RNAcentral. Lineage: Eukaryota; Metazoa; Arthropoda; Insecta; Coleoptera; Chrysomelidae.